AGAUAAGGAGCUUGCUCCUUUGACGUUAGCGGCGGACGGGUGAGUAACACGUGGGUAACCUACCUAUAAGACUGGGAUAACUUCGGGAAACCGGAGCUAAUACCGGAUAACAUUUGGAACCGCAUGGUUCUAAAGUGAAAGAUGGUUUUGCUAUCACUUAUAGAUGGACCCGCGCCGUAUUAGCUAGUUGGUAAGGUAACGGCUUACCAAGGCGACGAUACGUAGCCGACCUGAGAGGGUGAUCGGCCACACUGGAACUGAGACACGGUCCAGACUCCUACGGGAGGCAGCAGUAGGGAAUCUUCCGCAAUGGGCGAAAGCCUGACGGAGCAACGCCGCGUGAGUGAUGAAGGGUUUCGGCUCGUAAAACUCUGUUAUUAGGGAAGAACAAACGUGUAAGUAACUGUGCACGUCUUGACGGUACCUAAUCAGAAAGCCACGGCUAACUACGUGCCAGCAGCCGCGGUAAUACGUAGGUGGCAAGCGUUAUCCGGAAUUAUUGGGCGU
RNAcentral lists this ribosomal RNA (507 nucleotides) under Staphylococcus sp. Its description in RNAcentral is "bacterial SSU rRNA". It matches the Rfam family "Bacterial small subunit ribosomal RNA", at positions 69 to 561 of the family's 1533-position model. The record is from RNAcentral. Lineage: Bacteria; Bacillati; Bacillota; Bacilli; Caryophanales; Staphylococcaceae.